This 392-nucleotide ribosomal RNA is filed under the name uncultured bacterium. RNAcentral's name for it is "partial 16S ribosomal RNA". It matches the Rfam family "Bacterial small subunit ribosomal RNA", at positions 523 to 918 of the family's 1533-position model. The record is from RNAcentral.
AUACGGAGGAUCCGAGCGUUAUCCGGAUUUAUUGGGUUUAAAGGGUGCGCAGGCGGCCAUUUAAGUCAGCGGUUAAAUCGUGGGGCUCAACCCCAUUCUGCCGUUGAUACUGGGUGGCUUGAUUGCGGUCGAGGUUGGCGGAAUUCGUUGUGUAGCGGUGAAAUGCAUAGGUAUGACGAAGAACACCGAUUGCGUAGGCAGCUGACCAAAUCGCAAAUGCCGCUCAUGCACGAAAGUGCGGGGAUCGAACAGGAUUAGAUACCCUGGUAGUCCACGCGGUAACCGAUGAUUACUGGCUGUUUGCGAUACAAUGUAAGCGGCUGAGCGAAAGCGUUAAGUGAUCCACCUGGGGAGUACGUUCGUAAGAAUGAAACUCAAAUGAAUUGGCGGGG